RNAcentral lists this ribosomal RNA (403 nucleotides) under bacterium. Its description in RNAcentral is "partial 16S ribosomal RNA". It matches the Rfam family "Bacterial small subunit ribosomal RNA", at positions 355 to 776 of the family's 1533-position model. The record is from RNAcentral.
UGGGGAAUAUUGCACAAUGGAGGGAACUCUGAUGCAGCGACGCCGCGUGAACGAAGAAGGCUUUCGAGUCGUAAAGUUCUUUUAUAUGGGAAGAUAAUGACGGUACCAUAAGAAAAAGCCCCGGCUAACUACGUGCCAGCAGCCGCGGUAAUACGUAGGGGGCUAGCGUUGUCCGAAAUCACUGGGCGUAAAGGGUUCGCAGGCGGAAAUGCAAGUCAGGUGUAAAAGGCAGUAGCUUAACUACUGUAAGCAUUUGAAACUGCAUAUCUUGAGAAGAGUAGAGGUAAGUGGAAUUUUUAGUGUAGCGGUGAAAUGCGUAGAUAUUAAAAAGAAUACCGGUGGCGAAGGCGGCUUACUGGGCUCAUUCUGACGCUGAGGAACGAAAGCGUGGGUAGCAAACAGG